This 549-nucleotide ribosomal RNA is filed under the name uncultured bacterium. Its description in RNAcentral is "bacterial SSU rRNA". It matches the Rfam family "Bacterial small subunit ribosomal RNA", at positions 356 to 896 of the family's 1533-position model. The record is from RNAcentral.
GGGGAAUCUUCCGCAGUGGACGAAAGUCUGACGGAGCAACGCCGCGUGAGUGAUGACGGCCUUCGGGUUGUAAAGCUCUGUUAAUCGGGACGAAAGGCCUUCUUGCGAAUAGUUAGAAGGAUUGACGGUACCGGAAUAGAAAGCCACGGCUAAAUACGUGCCAGCAGCCGCGGUAAUACGUAGGUGGCAAGCGUUGUCCGGAAUUAUUGGGCGUAAAGCGCGCGCAGGCGGAUUGGUCAGUCUGUCUUAAAAGUUCGGGGCUUAACCCCGUGAUGGGAUGGAAACUGCCAAUCUAGAGUAUCGGAGAGGAAAGUGGAAUUCCUAGUGUAGCGGUGAAAUGCGUAGAUAUUAGGAAGAACACCAGUGGCGAAGGCGACUUUCUGGACGAAAACUGACGCUGAGGCGCGAAAGCCAGGGGAGCGAACGGGAUUAGAUACCCCGGUAGUCCUGGCCGUAAACGAUGGGUACUAGGUGUAGGAGGUAUCGACCCCUUCUGUGCCGGAGUUAACGCAAUAAGCACCCCGCCUGGGGAGUACGACCGCAAGGUUG